UUGCCAACCUCAGAGGCCGGGAGAGGCUGGAGCAGGCCUGGCUCAGAGGAAACACCCACCGACCAGACAAAGGGAGGAGAGAACAUACCGCAGAGAAGCAGAUGGAUGAGGAACACAAUGGGCCGUUGUAUGAGCAGAUGCUGCUGCCACCACUGCAGGCAACCCUCAGGCCACUCCUGCUCCACGGCCUGGUGACAGGGCUACACACUCUGAUCCAGGGACAAGCUGGGCCAAAUGGCCAGCAGAAGUGGACAUCUGCCUUCUGAGCCCCAAGGCGCUGGAGCCAAGGCGUGACACCGACAGAUGAAGAAACUGAGGACCUGAGAGGCGCCAGAUACCAUACUAAUGACCUUG
Molecule: long non-coding RNA, 354 nt
Organism: Lutra lutra (Eurasian river otter)
Lineage: Eukaryota; Metazoa; Chordata; Mammalia; Carnivora; Mustelidae
Exons: 3
Source: RefSeq, a predicted model, not a curated record